AGAGAGACACUGAUGAACUGGGGAGCCAUGCUCUAACAACGUUCAGAGGCUUGUAACAGUCUACUGAGUCUGACACGGUGCUUAAAUGGGCUCUGGAGACGCAGGAAUGUUGUUGGAUUCAACUAUUUCCGAAAAGAAUAGACUGAUAUGAAUGCUUCAAAUAUUAAAACCCGAUUGAUUAGGCCUAUGCCGACAUAAUAUCAGUCCUAAUCCUGAACGCACCGUGCGUACAUUUUUCACGGCAUUUUCCCCCAGACAGACAGACAGACAGACAGACAGACAGACAGACAGACAGACAGACAGACAGACAGACAGACAGACACUUUAUUUACCCCAAACUAACUUUCAUAAUCCAGCAGGUUACACAAUACAAAUAACUCUUACACAAAUACAGACAGUCGAUACAGUAGGAGUAGGCUAAUACAGCGCCCACCUCAGCAAAAGGUAAAAUGUAAAAAGAAGAUAUAAGCUACAUUUAAAAUACAGAUGCUGUAGCCUACAUAAAAAUACAGAUGCCACAUGAAAUAUGAAAAUAGGAUGCAAUGUAUAAAUAUGCAAAACUAGGAUAUAACUAGGCUAUAAUGAGAAUAUUUGGUUAACUUACAUCUGUGCAAUGACUAUCCUCCUAAAUUAAAUUAGUUAGAUGGAAAGAUUUUUGUCUAUGGAAUGAUCCUGUCACUUUACUGCCACACAUUGUGUGUGUCAGUAAAGUGAUGAGGUAGGAGAAUCCGUGUAUGGAUUGUUUUUUGGUUUUUCAGAUUUGGUUUUGAAACUGAAAAAGGGCAAAAGGAAUAAACAAAUAAACGGCAUUUGAUUUUG
Long non-coding RNA from Gadus macrocephalus (Pacific cod), 819 nucleotides. RefSeq lists it as uncharacterized. Lineage: Eukaryota; Metazoa; Chordata; Actinopteri; Gadiformes; Gadidae. The transcript has 3 exons. The record is from RefSeq and is a predicted model, not a curated record.